GCCGGCGGCGCUCCUGCCCGCUGAUUCGCAGCUGCCCGCGGCUCCCACGCUCUACUGCCCGGGUCCCUGCCCCGCGAGGCGCCCAAUUACCCGCUUACCUUCUGCCCUCACACCUGGCCUCCCGAAAGGCGCUUUCGUUGUCUCCGCCAGGCGGUGCAGUAGCUGAUGGAGAUGAAAGGCGUGAGGAGCUGCUUUGAGGACCAAAGCCGCGACAUCCCACCACCUGGCCAAGAGCACUGUUCGUGACCGACCCCUUGCCCUAAAUACCCGUCUGUAUUGCUCGGGACCCGCAGGAGCGACUCUCUGAAAGCGGCUGGCUCUGUGGGCCGGGGCGCUUCCCAGGGACUGGCCGCUGCUAUGUCUUUGCUUUAGGAGCCGAAGUGAAGCGACGGAAGACUGCUGUUGGUGCCUCCUGCGGUACCUGAACACGGGAGCGACCGGCGCGGGAUGCAGGGCGGUGACGCUAAAGCUUGUGCUUCUUUCUUCAGUGAAGGGACACAGCCACCUUGAGUUCCUGGACAGGAAAAGGGCUUCGAACGCCAAGAGCAAGGAUGGAGGCACUGAGAUGGAAAGCAGUUUUCAGCAAAGGAGGAAAAGCUUGGGAGCCUGGCAUUCACAGGGGUGUCUGUGGGCAUGUCUGCCCGAGGUCUGGGAGCAGGAAUGACAAGAGACCUCACACUCGGCAGCCUGGGGGCAGCUCCGGGGACCAGGAGCCGGGCCUUCGGAAGGAAAGAUCCCCGGGUCCCGGAGACAGCGGCUACACCGCACAGGGCAGACGACCCGACUCCAACUGAACAGGUACGGCUGAAAGAGACCUCACGUGCCCUGGGUGGCACUGCACUGACCGACAGCUCUCAUCCCACAUUUGCCUGAACCCAGAGAAUGACAACGCCAAGAGCGAGCCCUGCUGCAGACCGUGGACUCUGGUCGUCUGGGUAGGUUCUGAGUGUGUGUGUGGGGGGGGGGGGGGCGCGUUGGUAAUGGGGAGACUGUGCGAGCGGGGACAUGGGUGGACUUUAUUGGGAACCCCUGGACUUUCCUGUCCAUGUUGCUGUGAACCUUCAACUGCACCAAAAACUAAAAUCUAUUAAAAAAUACGUUAUAACCGCCACUUAGGAUAAUGCAGAUUUUCUUGCUCUUUCCAGAACCUCCAGAGACAGCUGUAAGAAAAUGAAUUGACUUUUGCUCAAAACACAGAAAUCCUCAGAACCAAAAAUAAUCCCAGGAAGGAAAUAAAAUACAAGACACGCAGAACUCCGCA
Molecule: long non-coding RNA, 1261 nt
Filed under: Sus scrofa (pig)
Lineage: Eukaryota; Metazoa; Chordata; Mammalia; Artiodactyla; Suidae
Description: lncRNA (ENSSSCG00070005950.1)
Source: RNAcentral